Coregonus clupeaformis (lake whitefish) is the source of this 1882-nucleotide long non-coding RNA. RefSeq lists it as uncharacterized. NCBI's taxonomy places the organism in Eukaryota, Metazoa, Chordata, Actinopteri, Salmoniformes, Salmonidae. The record is from RefSeq and is a predicted model, not a curated record. The transcript has 3 exons.
CUGCAUUGUUGAUUCUUUUUUUUCUAUUGAAUCUUUCCUCAACUCCUUGCCUCCUCAAAACGUAGUGGACAAGAAGGCCUGAGGGGAGGUAGCUUCUCCUCCAAUAAGGUAGAGCAGUAGGUGAGGAGCUGGGGUGUGAGGAAUCCCAGAAAGAUGAAUUGAGAUGGAGACGUGGGGUGGACCCCCUAAAGGACAAGACAGACCAACACAAAUGUCGUCCAUGCGCUACAUUGCCUGUUGAUGAUGUAGAUAGGACAACCUUGUCUGUCUUGUCCUUAAAGUGGUUUAUAUUUUAUAUGAAUGCAUGUUUACCAAAUGAAAAAGCAUUGUUUUGGUAUGUCAGAGGCCCUUCAAGCUUGCCUGAAUUUUAUUUACUGUAAUCGCUAAUUUUUGUGUGUUCAUUGAGGGAAAGCAUUGUUCAUACUAACGUAACAUGGGUUCAGAUAUCCGUAUCUAAUAAUGGCUUGUGGAUCACAUCAGUUUAUGAAAUGUAAGUUCAUUGUCCACUCAUCUUUCAAUCAUCUUAAAGUUAGACCCAGUCCAUCUCCUUAAUGGGACACACAGAGCAAUAUUUGGGUGCUGUGUGUGGCCCUAUAUCUGUGCUCAAAUUUAUAAAUGUUCCUGUGUAAUGAACCACAGCACCCUCUAGCUUUAUCUGUGAUACUGCAGAUGGAAACAGAAUUUUCCGUAGUUAAGGGUGCAGUGCAGUUAAAUGUGUUUUACCGUAAAAAAAAAAGAAGAUAUUUCCACACUGAAUAUUGUGAAAGUGAUGAUAAUGGCCUUUUUGUGUAAGAUCUGUUUAAAAAAAAUGCCUGAAAUUUCAGCCUGUUCAAGUGGGAUGUACUUUUGACCCGCACCCGGCGAUCUGAUUAUAAUAGACCAAUUAACAUUAAUAAUUUAUUUACAUAUUCCCUCCUAGUUUUGGCGCUGGUCCCGCCCAAAAGCAAGAGAGAUUGUGCAUUAUGGAUGCCUUAGCACUGUAUUCCAGCCGAACAAUCAGUUUGUCUGAUUUGGCAGCGAUUUAUUUAUCAUAAUCAACUGUCAGAGAAGUUCAGUCGAACCUCCUGCACAGCACACUUUGCAUCGGACUACACUGCAAAUCAGGCUAGGUACACAGGUGGAUUUCCCAGCAGCUCCAUCGAGCAUCGCAUGGAUCUUGAAAUCGGCAGCAGCAGCAACCAUUCAUGAAGGGGUACCGGUACAGAGUCAAUGUGCAGGGGCACCGGUUAGUCGAGAGCCAUAGCUGAGGAAGUCCUGCAGGAUGAAGAGGACCAUGAAGUCAUGGACUUCUUGGAGGAAGAUGUUUUUGAUGAGGAGCUACUUGGUGUGAAGACUAGGACAAAGAGUAUGAGACACACACAGACAGGUGAACAUCGACUGGCAGAGAAGCAGCUGAACUGGUCCUCCCCCUCCCCCACCUAACCCUCCUAGGUUGAUGCUGGUAGUUGGUGCUGCUCAUACCAAGCUGGUGGUGAAGGUCGUAGAAAUGCUAUAGCCUGGUCCCAGAUCGGUUUAUGCUGUCUUGCUAACUCCAAAUGUAUGAUAGUUGUAAUGCCAUGAUACCAUAGCUGUUGGCUUGGCUAUACAUAUGAGUUGGCUAAUGGCUAUAUAGCACAAACAGCUCAAAGACCAAGCUAACAUUUGGCUGAUUGUCGGAACAGAAAUAAAUGUUAUGUACUUGAGGACUACUCUAAAAAAUGUUGGCUUUGUUGCAGUAAAUAUAGAAAGGAGAAUAUGACGUGAUUUGCUUGUGUGGCACCUGAAUGCAAGGGCAAGCAGUUGUGUAUGGUGAUAUGAUAGUGAUGCAAAUGCACGUGUGUUUUCAGUUUUAAAAGAGACAAUGUUUUCCCCUUUCAAUAAAGUUAUUGUUUUAUUAAUAUUA